Molecule: ribozyme, 77 nt
Filed under: Crocodylus porosus (Australian saltwater crocodile)
Lineage: Eukaryota; Metazoa; Chordata; Crocodylia; Crocodylidae
Description: Mammalian CPEB3 ribozyme (ENSCPRG00005014975.1)
Rfam family: Mammalian CPEB3 ribozyme
About the family: The mammalian CPEB3 ribozyme is a self cleaving RNA located in the second intron of the CPEB3 gene which belongs to a family of genes regulating messenger RNA polyadenylation. This ribozyme is highly conserved and found only in mammals.
Source: Rfam by way of RNAcentral
GGUUGCAAUUUUGAGGCCAUAACAGAAGUGCUCCUGGCAUGGCCCUGUCAAAUUCCAAUGAAUCUGCAAAUUCUGCU